ACGAACGCUGGCGGCAGGCUUAACACAUGCAAGUCGAGCGAACCCUUCGGGGUUAGCGGCGGACGGGUGAGUAACGCGUGGGAACGUGCCCUUUUCUACGGAAUAGCCUCGGGAAACUGAGAGUAAUACCGUAUACGCCCUUUUGGGGAAAGAUUUAUCGGAGAAGGAUCGGCCCGCGUUGGAUUAGGUAGUUGGUGGGGUAAUGGCCUACCAAGCCGACGAUCCAUAGCUGGUUUGAGAGGAUGAUCAGCCACACUGGGACUGAGACACGGCCCAGACUCCUACGGGAGGCAGCAGUGGGGAAUCUUAGACAAUGGGGGCAACCCUGAUCUAGCCAUGCCGCGUGAGUGAUGAAGGCCUUAGGGUUGUAAAGCUCUUUCAGCUGGGAAGAUAAUGACGGUACCAGCAGAAGAAGCCCCGGCUAACUCCGU
Molecule: ribosomal RNA, 431 nt
Filed under: uncultured bacterium
Lineage: Bacteria
Description: bacterial SSU rRNA
Rfam family: Bacterial small subunit ribosomal RNA
Source: RNAcentral